Molecule: ribosomal RNA, 1161 nt
Filed under: Triticum aestivum (bread wheat)
Lineage: Eukaryota; Viridiplantae; Streptophyta; Magnoliopsida; Poales; Poaceae
Description: partial small subunit ribosomal RNA
Source: RNAcentral
AUGAGGGCCAUCGCCAUUAGCUUCGUGUGGUCAUUUCUAGCCAUACUCAUGACCUCCACGCCGACCGCUAGUGACAAGCCCGCACUGCUUGCUUUCAAAGCGCAGGUCAGCCAUGGCGGCUCGCUGGCUUCCUGGAACAGCAGCGUGGGCUUCUGCAGCUGGCAAGGCGUGGUGUGUAGCCAGCGGAGGCCAAUGCGGGUGGUGGCUCUGACAUUGGAUGGCACCGGCCUUGUCGGACCACUCUCACCCGCCAUCGGGAACCUCACAUUCCUGCGGAUGCUCAACCUGAGAUCCAACUCGUUCCAUGGGGUCAUUCCGGCUAGCCUUGGCCGUCUCCGUCGCCUGCGGUGGCUCUACUUGGACACGAACUCCUUCUCCGGCACAAUACCUGCGAACCUGAGCGCAUGCGUCCGCAUGAUAGAAAUGAGACUGGACAACAACACGCUUGGCGGACCCAUCCCGGCUGAGCUCGGCGAGAAGCUAACAUCCCUAGAAGUGAUCACACUGAGAAACAACAGCUUCACAGGGCCCAUCCCGACGUCAUUGGCCAAUCUGUCCCAUCUACAUGCCGUGUCCCUUGCCGAUAACCAGCUCGUGGGCUCAAUCCCGCCAGGGCUCGGCAGCAUCCAGAGCAUGCGAUAUUUCGGUCUCUUCAACAACCUCCUCAAUGGUAUGCUCCCACCUUCUAUCUACAACUGGUCAUUGCUGGAAACAUUUGAUGUAGGGCAAAACAUGUUCUCCGGAAGCAUUCCGGAUGAUAUAGGAAGCAAGUUCCCCAAGUUGAGAUAUCUUGGCGCGGGUGGUAAUCACUUUACGGGGACCAUCCCUUCUUCAAUAUCCAACAUGUCUUCCCUUGUAAGACUUAGCCUCGUGCAGAAUAACUUUAGUGGAUACGUGCCUCCCAUGUUGGGGAAGCUGGGCACUCUUCAAGAAGUGAAUUUGGCAGUCAAUAAGCUUGAAGCCAAUGACAACAAGGGGUGGGAAUUCAUUACUUCUCUGGCAAACUGCAGCCAACUACUGCGACUGUCAUUGAACUUCAAUUCUUUUGGAGGACAACUACCGGGUACAAUUGUGAACCUCUCAACGACUCUGCAGACCUUAAGCUUAAGUAGCAAUAUGAUCUCAGGGAUUAUCUGGUUGGUCUGGAAACACUUGGGAUAG